This is a non-coding RNA of Hydnomerulius pinastri MD-312, 92 nucleotides long. Lineage: Eukaryota; Fungi; Basidiomycota; Agaricomycetes; Boletales. The record is from the annotation of a GenBank genome assembly.
UCUCUGGUAGUAUAUCGGAUAGUACAGCCGCCUGUCAUUAGCAUAAUCUGCUAGGAUCGCGGCAGAGCUGGGUUCGACUCCCAGCCAGAGAG